This 2420-nucleotide long non-coding RNA is filed under the name Homo sapiens (human). Its description in RNAcentral is "non-protein coding lnc-SPAG16-7:1". The record is from RNAcentral. Lineage: Eukaryota; Metazoa; Chordata; Mammalia; Primates; Hominidae.
UGCUGCCCCGGAGGCUCCGCGACGCGCGCACUCCCUCGCGCCCACCCGCGCGCCCGGCCGCGUCGCCCCCAGCCCGUUGGUCCCCGGACUGCGGACCCCGCCCCCGACGGGGGCCAGGUAACCCGCUUCCGAGUGUGCCACGGCGACCCCCAUCUCCCCUCCCCGUGUCAUAAUAAAUCUCACGUUUUCUGCCGGCUGGAGGCUUGGAGCGGUGAGGUGACGUUCAUUUCGGCCGCGUGAAGUUUUCUUUCAAACUGGGAUUGGUGGGGAGGCCGGGGGAAGGGAGCGGGGCGGCGAUCUUGGCGCCCUGCGCGGAGUCCGGGAGCCGCGUCCCGGCCGAGUCGGGGAGUGUGCGUGGAGCCUCCCACCUACUGGUCUCCGCCGGCAACUCUGCGGCCCCAUUUCGGAAAGCGCACCGCAUUGACCGGGACCUGAAGCGGGAUAAGAGGGGUCCUGGGGAAUAGACUGAGAAAGACAUUCAUGUCUGAGAUGAAGCUCAACUAUUACUAUUUUGAAAGUGCUUUAACAGUGCAAGUUUAAAAACUAAAGUGUUGACUUGCUUUUUCUCCCCCGGGGCAUGUGCCACGUCUUCCAAAGUCAAAGGAACGGAUGAGUACAAAAAGUUGCUACCCUUGAAGUGUUACCUAUCACUAUCAACCACAGCUUGUUUAUUUGGAAAGAACUUAAGUGAACCGUCAAGAGAAAAACAAAUGCAUAUUCUUUCUACAAAUAGUAGCAUUUAGUAUCUUUCCUGACCACAUUUGCGAAAAGAGGGAAUAGAGACUUCUAUAAUUAAAGGGAAAAGGAAAAUGAAAGGAGCUGAAAAUAGUGAACUGUGUAGUCUGGAUGGCUGAAAUUUGAAAACACAUGAAAUUAUCAGGACUGCCAAACGGUGUUCCUGAGAAACCAUAUCACAGAUUGUGAAGAAAAUCAAUGCUAGAAGAGUCGGAACAGGCACCGUACUCUUACUCCUUUGAAGAAUCCCAGAAAUAGUUGUUGAGGUUUUUUUUUUCUGCUGAGAAAAAAAGAUAUAUUGGAAAUUAAGUCAUCAACAGUACCUUAAGCACCACUCUGUAGGUAAUUUUGGAUAGUGUCUUUUCUUUACAUUUUGAUAUAGGGAAGGAAUUAAUUCACAUCGACACAAACGAAGUAAUGGAUACCAUAUAACUUGUGUGAUACUGUAGCUUUUAUAAUGAAUUACUUCUUGAAAGUUUUUUUUCCUAUACAAUGUAUUAUUAAACAAUUGUAACGAUAGUCUCUUUUUGUUUAACUAUAGAAAAUGGUAGAUAGUGUGGUACAGCAAACAAGAUUAACAAAUUUUCGUUGGAGAGAAAUUAUUUGGGCUCAGGCUUGCAAUAACAUUAUGAUGAUUUUAAGAAAAAUUGCAGUUCCUGUGAGUUAUAUAUUGAUAAGGCAGAUUUUUAAACACUUAGUUGCUAAAAUUAGUUUUCCUAAAGUCGUAUUUGGGAAAGUCUGAGUAGAGAACCAGUAAGUCACUCUAAUCAUCCCAACAGAGAGCAAAUAUUUUAGUCUUAAAUUACCUCAAAAAAUCUGUAUGUCGUUUAUAAUAUGUAAAUGCACAAUAUGUAAAGGAUAACAUAAGUUCUCGAAAUUGUCAUAAGUCCUUCCUAAAAACUGAACCUAAGUGUUUAGGUAUCUGUACUGUUACAGAGAUCCUUGAAAAUAUGAAAUAAAGAUAAUCGAAAUUAAGAUGAAAUGUCUGAUAGUUUACACAAUGUAAUUAUUUGGUAGAAGAGGAUCCAUUGUGAAAUCUUAAAGAUACAUCCUCACAGUUACCAAGUUGAUGUAGUCCUUGCCCCUGGUUUAUUGAAGCUUAAUUUAGCUUCCUUGAAGCUGGUCCUUUUCAAGAGUUAACUUUCACUGGCUGCCUAGUCACCAGAGGCACACUUUCUCCCUCUAGUGGCUAAGGCUUCAGACACUACAUUCUGUCACCCUGCCUCCCCCUGAAUGGAUCCCAGAUUUUAGAAUAACAAAGAUCUCAUGACCACCUGGGAGAAUUGGACCAUCUUGGCAAAUGUUUCCCUCUUUUUAACAUCCUACAUUCCUUUCUUAUUUGCAGGUUAUGGUGUAUCUAACUCAUCCAGAGAAAUCAAGAUUAUGUUUUCAUACCAAGAUUGGGGGUUUUAUUUCAUGCCUGUGGAGUCUAUAGUCCUAAGAUUCACAAUGCAAUCCACUCAUGGGAAAGAACCCUUGCAUAAACUGUAAUUCACUUUGUUCAGAAUUUCUCUGGGUAGUUUUGUUUGUUUGUUCGUUUUGGUUUUGUUUUUGUUGAGACAGAGUCUCACUCUGUCACCCAGGCUGGAGUGCAGUGGCGCCGUCUCGGCUCACUACAAUCUCUGCUUCCUGGGUUCAUGCGAUUCUCCUGCCUCAGCCUUCUGAGUAGCUGGGAUCACAGGCGC